This 901-nucleotide ribosomal RNA is filed under the name uncultured bacterium. RNAcentral describes it as "bacterial SSU rRNA". It matches the Rfam family "Bacterial small subunit ribosomal RNA", at positions 22 to 890 of the family's 1533-position model. The record is from RNAcentral.
GCUCAGGACGAACGCUGGCGGCGUGCCUAAUACAUGCAAGUCGAACGAAGCUUUCUUUCACCGAAUGCUUGCAUUCACCGAAAGAAGCUUAGUGGCGAACGGGUGAGUAACACGUAGGCAACCUGCCCAAAAGAGGGGGAUAACACUUGGAAACAGGUGCUAAUACCGCAUAACCAUGAACACCGCAUGAUGUUCAUGUAAAAGACGGCUUUUGCUGUCACUUUUGGAUGGGCCUGCGGCGUAUUAACUUGUUGGUGGGGUAACGGCCUACCAAGGUGAUGAUACGUAGCCGAACUGAGAGGUUGAUCGGCCACAUUGGGACUGAGACACGGCCCAAACUCCUACGGGAGGCAGCAGUAGGGAAUCUUCCACAAUGGACGAAAGUCUGAUGGAGCAACGCCGCGUGAAUGAAGAAGGCCUUCGGAUCGUAAAAUUCUGUUGUCAGAGAAGAACGUGCGUGAGAGUAACUGUUCACGUAUUGACGGUAUCUGACCAGAAAGCCACGGCUAACUACGUGCCAGCAGCCGCGGUAAUACGUAGGUGGCGAGCGUUGUCCGGAUUUAUUGGGCGUAAAGGGAACGCAGGCGGUCUUUUAAGUCUGAUGUGAAAGCCUUCGGCUUAACCGAAGUAGUGCAUUGGAAACUGGAAGACUUGAGUGCAGAAGAGGAGAGUGGAACUCCAUGUGUAGCGGUGAAAUGCGUAGAUAUAUGGAAGAACACCAGUGGCGAAAGCGGCUCUCUGGUCUGUAACUGACGCUGAGGUUCGAAAGCGUGGGUAGCAAACAGGAUUAGAUACCCUGGUAGUCCACGCCGUAAACGAUGAGUGCUAAGUGUUGGAGGGUUUCCGCCCUUCAGUGCUGCAGCUAACGCAUUAAGCACUCCGCCUGGGGAGUACGGUCGCA